UACAGAGGGUGCUAGCGUUGUUCGGAAUCAUUGGGCGUAAAGGGCGUGUAGGCGGUUUGCUAAGUCAUGUGUGAAAUCCCUCGGCUCAACCGGGGAACGACGCAUGAAACUGGCAAGCUAGAGUACCAAAGAGGGGGGUGGAAUUCCCGGUGUAGCGGUGAAAUGCGUAGAUAUCGGGAGGAACAUCAGUGGCGAAGGCGGCCCUCUGGUCCAGUACUGACACUCAAGUGCGAAAGCGUGGGGAGCAAACAGG
This 253-nucleotide ribosomal RNA is filed under the name uncultured bacterium. RNAcentral's name for it is "partial 16S ribosomal RNA". It matches the Rfam family "Bacterial small subunit ribosomal RNA", at positions 524 to 776 of the family's 1533-position model. The record is from RNAcentral.